CAGGUGGACUGGAGACAGGGACAGCCAGGAGUCAUCAGGCCAGGUAGUCCUGAGGCAUGGUCCUAGGGCUCAAGUCCUGCAUCCUUUAUUUAAUGUGUGUAGACUAGAGGUUUUGUAACGUCACAUGAUUUAGCCCACCUGUCAAUCCAGAUCUGAAUAUUUUAUAUCUUUUUUACUGGACACAGUUUUUCCCCCCCGAAGCUAAUCACUGAAUGUCCUACUACAAGGAUGUGGUCAGGUUGACUCAGGUCUGAGUCACAAUAACACAGAUCACACACACCACAGAUUGCGAGGGGAAGUACAAUGAGCAGUAGGGGAAAUGAAGUCUGGUUGCCACACACACACUUCCUUUAGGUUAGUGUGUAGUCAAGGUURUGUCAUUAAAAUAACAUUGUGCCCAGCUUUAAGAUCUGCCAACCUGCUCCGUGGGUGACAGGUAACCGUGUUUCCACCAAGCUGUUCGUGGCCUGGAGUGGCACGCUGGAACUUCCAGAGGCUUGGAGACCUGAAGCCAUGUGAUGUGGUCCAGCUAAUUGUCACACACGUAUACACACUCACUCGGUUUUGUCGUAUAAUUAUUUUCACUUAAGGAAAUUGUACCUUUUUUAAAUUCUUUUAUGUGACACCCCUAUUAGCUCAACCACAGUCCUCACAGCUGCAUUCGUCUGCCCCUGCACCUGCUACACCGGCUGUGACAGGCCUUUCUCCUUUAGAUCUGCCACCCCCAGCAGUUCAGCUGCAGUCACAGCAGUCCUCUGCUGUGGUAUUUCAUUUACCAGCUGCACCAGUUCCUACUACACUGGCCGUGAAGGCAUAMACUUUUGAGGAUUCCCAGAUAGAGACAGAUUGGCCAUGCUCUCCACCAGGGCCYGACAGCCUCACCCAGAAGUGCCUACACUGGGCCGAUCAAGACUGACAAAGCAGAGAUGGGUGGCUGACAAGGAAACAUAAAACAUGCACACACACGCUCUCUCUCUGUGUCUCUGUAUCUCACACACACACACAUUAUCCACAAUAUAAAUAAAUUGUAAUAACUUGUUUAUUUUAUGAAUCUUCCAUUUUAUUUUAGGAUUGGAGAUAUCUACUGUAUGCCUACAUUUCCAU
This is a non-coding RNA of Salvelinus sp. IW2-2015, 1104 nucleotides long. The record is from RefSeq and is a predicted model, not a curated record. Lineage: Eukaryota; Metazoa; Chordata; Actinopteri; Salmoniformes; Salmonidae.